This 484-nucleotide ribosomal RNA is filed under the name uncultured bacterium. RNAcentral's name for it is "partial 16S ribosomal RNA". It matches the Rfam family "Bacterial small subunit ribosomal RNA", at positions 29 to 507 of the family's 1533-position model. The record is from RNAcentral.
AUUGAACGCUGGCGGCAUGCUUUACACAUGCAAGUCGAACGGCAGCGCGGGCUUCGGCCUGGCGGCGAGUGGCGAACGGGUGAGUAAUACAUCGGAACGUGCCCAGUAGUGGGGGAUAGCUCGGCGAAAGCCGGAUUAAUACCGCAUACGACCUGAGGGUGAAAGCGGGGGAUCUUCGGACCUCGCGCUAUUGGAGCGGCCGAUGGCAGAUUAGCUAGUUGGUGGGGUAAAGGCCUACCAAGGCGACGAUCUGUAGCUGGUCUGAGAGGCCGACCAGCCACACUGGGACUGAGACACGGCCCAGACUCCUACGGGAGGCAGCAGUGGGGAAUUUUGGACAAUGGGCGAAAGCCUGAUCCAGCAAUGCCGCGUGUGUGAUGAAGGCCUUCGGGUUGUAAAGCACUUUUGGCGGGAACGAAAAGGACUGUGCCAAUACCACGGUUCGAUGACGGUACCCGCAGAAUAAGCACCGGCUAACUACGUG